RNAcentral lists this ribosomal RNA (497 nucleotides) under uncultured bacterium. RNAcentral's name for it is "partial 16S ribosomal RNA". It matches the Rfam family "Bacterial small subunit ribosomal RNA", at positions 28 to 507 of the family's 1533-position model. The record is from RNAcentral.
GAUGAACGCUGGCGGCGUGCCUAAUACAUGCAAGUCGAGCGAACAGAUGAGGAGCUUGCUCCUCUGACGUUAGCGGCGGACGGGUGAGUAACACGUGGAUAACCUACCUAUAAGUCUGGGAUAACUUCGGGAAACCGGAGCUAAUACCGGAUAAUAUAUUGAACCGCAUGGUUCAAUAGUGAAAGACGGUUUUGCUGUCACUUAUAGAUGGAUCCGCGCCGCAUUAGCUAGUUGGUAAGGUAACGGCUUACCAAGGCAACGAUGCGUAGCCGACCUGAGAGGGUGAUCGGCCACACUGGCACUGAGACACGGUCCAGACUCCUACGGGAGGCAGCAGUAGGGAAUCUUCCGCAAUGGGCGAAAGCCUGACGGAGCAACGCCGCGUGAGUGAUGAAGGUCUUCGGAUCGUAAAACUCUGUUAUUAGGGAAGAACAAAUGUGUAAGUAACUAUGCACGUCUUGACGGUACCUAAUCAGAAAGCCACGGCUAACUACGUG